UUUUACCUUGUUGCUUCGGCGGGCCCGCCUUUACUGGCCGCCGGGGGGCUUCACGCCCCCGGGCCCGCGCCCGCCGAAGACACCCUCGAACUCUGUCUGAAGAUUGAAGUCUGAGUGAAAAUAUAAAUUAUUUAAAACUUUCAACAACGGAUCUCUUGGUUCCGGCAUCGAUGAAGAACGCAGCGAAAUGCGAUACGUAAUGUGAAUUGCAAAUUCAGUGAAUCAUCGAGUCUUUGAACGCACAUUGCGCCCCCUGGUAUUCCGGGGGGCAUGCCUGUCCGAGCGUCAUUGCUGCCCUCAAGCCCGGCUUGUGUGUUGGGCCCCGUCCUCCGAUUCCGGGGGACGGGCCCGAAAGGCAGCGGCGGCACCGCGUCCGGUCCUCGAGCGUAUGGGGCUUUGUCACCCGCUCCGUAGGCCCGGCCGGCGCUUGCCGAUCAACCCAAAUUUUUAUCCAGGUUGACCUCGGAUCAGGUAGGGAUACCCGCUGAACUUAA
Molecule: ribosomal RNA, 494 nt
Filed under: Penicillium aurantiogriseum
Lineage: Eukaryota; Fungi; Ascomycota; Eurotiomycetes; Eurotiales; Aspergillaceae
Description: eukaryotic LSU rRNA
Rfam family: 5.8S ribosomal RNA (bases 136-288)
Source: RNAcentral